GCGGAGGGAUCAUUACCGAGUUUACAACUCCCAAACCCAAUGUGAACCAUACCAAACUGUUGCCUCGGCGGGGUCACGCCCCGGGUGCGUCGCAGCCCCGGAACCAGGCGCCCGCCGGAGGGACCAACCAAACUCUUUACUGUAGUCCCCUCGCGGACGUUAUUUCUUACAGCUCUGAGCAAAAAUUCAAAAUGAAUCAAAACUUUCAACAACGGAUCUCUUGGUUCUGGCAUCGAUGAAGAACGCAGCGAAAUGCGAUAAGUAAUGUGAAUUGCAGAAUUCAGUGAAUCAUCGAAUCUUUGAACGCACAUUGCGCCCGCCAGUAUUCUGGCGGGCAUGCCUGUCCGAGCGUCAUUUCAACCCUCGAACCCCUCCGGGGGGUCGGCGUUGGGGAUCGGGAACCCCUCAGACGGGAUCCCGGCCCCGAAAUACAGUGGCGGUCUCGCCGCAGCCUCUCCUGCGCAGUAGUUUGCACAACUCGCACCGGGAGCGCGGCGCGUCCACGUCCGUAAAACACCCAACUUCUGAAAUGUUGACCUCGGAUCAGGUAGGAAUACCCGCUGAACUUAAGCAUA
This 575-nucleotide ribosomal RNA is filed under the name Trichoderma erinaceum. RNAcentral describes it as "eukaryotic LSU rRNA". The stretch from base 201 to 354 matches the Rfam family "5.8S ribosomal RNA". Lineage: Eukaryota; Fungi; Ascomycota; Sordariomycetes; Hypocreales; Hypocreaceae. The record is from RNAcentral.